Molecule: ribosomal RNA, 460 nt
Filed under: uncultured bacterium
Lineage: Bacteria
Description: partial 16S ribosomal RNA
Rfam family: Bacterial small subunit ribosomal RNA
Source: RNAcentral
CCUACGGGAGGCAGCAGUGAGGAAUAUUGGUCAAUGGACGAGAGUCUGAACCAGCCAAGUAGCGUGAAGGAUGACUGCCCUAUGGGUUGUAAACUUCUUUUAUAUGGGAAUAAAAUGUUCCACGUGUGGGAUUUUGUAUGUACCAUAUGAAUAAGGAUCGGCUAACUCCGUGCCAGCAGCCGCGGUAAUACGGAGGAUCCGAGCGUUAUCCGGAUUUAUUGGGUUUAAAGGGAGCGUAGGUGGAUUGUUAAGUCAGUUGUGAAAGUUUGCGGAUGAACCGUAAAAUUGCAGUUGAAACUGGCAGUCUUGAGUACAGUAGAGGUGGGCGGAAUUCGUGGUGUAGCGGUGAAAUGCUUAGAUAUCACGAAGAACUCCGAUUGCGAAGGCAGUUCACUGGACUGCAACUGACACUGAGGCUCGAAAGUGUGGGUAUCAAACAGGAUUAGAUACCCCGGUAGUC